GCUUCCUUUUUCUCUUUUUUUUUUACCUCCUUUGCUUUAUCUUAAUAGAGUUCCAAUUCAAUUCAAUUUGUUACUUUUGUUGUUUUUCUCUUUUCUCCUGGAGGUGGGUGUACAAUAUACUAGUUUUUGUAUCAUUAAUUCUUUUGAACUGAAUAUUUGGGGUAAGAAAAUUUUGUUAUUGAUGAAUCUCUAGGUGACUAUUUAUUAGUCGUCUAAGAAAAUGUUGAAAUAAAAAAAA
RNAcentral lists this unclassified non-coding RNA (238 nucleotides) under Hevea brasiliensis (rubber tree). The record is from RNAcentral. Lineage: Eukaryota; Viridiplantae; Streptophyta; Magnoliopsida; Malpighiales; Euphorbiaceae.